GCUUGUCUCAAAGAUUAAGCCAUGCAUAUCUAAGAAUAACUAACAUUAUCUUGAAUCUGUGAAUGGCUCAUUAUAUCAGUUAUAGUUUACAUGAUAGUCAAUACUACUUGGAUAACCGUGGUAAUUCUAGAGCUAAUACAUGCAAAAAAACCCAGACUUACGAAUGGGUGCACUUAUUAGAUAAAGCCAACGCUGGGUAAAACCAGUUUCCCUUGGUGAUUCAUAAUAAUUAAGCGGAUCGCAUGGCCUUGUGCUAGCGACAGUCCACUCGAUUUUCUGCCCUAUCAUGGUUGAGAUUGUAAGAUAGAGGCUUACAAUGCCUACAACGGGUAACGGGGAAUUAGGGUUCGAUUCCGGAGAGGGAGCCUGAGAAACGGCUACCACAUCCAAGGAAGGCAGCAGG
Molecule: ribosomal RNA, 403 nt
Filed under: uncultured Mucor
Lineage: Eukaryota; Fungi; Mucoromycota; Mucoromycetes; Mucorales; Mucoraceae
Description: partial small subunit ribosomal RNA
Rfam family: Eukaryotic small subunit ribosomal RNA
Source: RNAcentral